GAUGAAGAACGUAGCGAAAUGCGAUAAGUAGUGUGAAUUGCAGAAUUCAGUGAAUCAUCGAAUCUUUGAACGCACAUUGCGCCCCUUGGUAUUCCAUGGGGCAUGCCUGUUCGAGCGUCAUUUGUACCUUCAAGCUUUGCUUGGUGUUGAGUGUUUGUCUCGCCUCUGCGUGUAGACUCGCCUUAAAACAAUUGGCAGCCGGCGUAUUGAUUUCGGAGCGCAGUACAUCUCGCGCUUUGCACUCAUAACGACGACGUCCAAAAGUACAUUUUUACACUCUUGACCUCGGAUCAGGUAGGGAUACCCGCUGAACUUAAGCAUAUCAAUAAGCGGAGGA
Molecule: unclassified non-coding RNA, 337 nt
Filed under: soil metagenome
Description: partial contains 5.8S ribosomal RNA, internal transcribed spacer 2, and large subunit ribosomal RNA
Rfam family: 5.8S ribosomal RNA (bases 1-120)
Source: RNAcentral